GCCUGGGUGGCUCAGUCGGUUAAGCGUCUGACUGCAGCUCAGGUCACGAUCUCACGGUCCGUGAGUUCCAACCCCACGUCAGGUC
This is a non-coding RNA of Felis catus (domestic cat), 85 nucleotides long. The record is from Rfam. Lineage: Eukaryota; Metazoa; Chordata; Mammalia; Carnivora; Felidae.